Molecule: microRNA, 20 nt
Filed under: Ciona intestinalis (vase tunicate)
Lineage: Eukaryota; Metazoa; Chordata; Ascidiacea; Phlebobranchia; Cionidae
Description: cin-miR-4010-3p
Source: miRBase by way of RNAcentral
CAAGUUUGUCGCCAUACUUC